Stegostoma tigrinum is the source of this 718-nucleotide long non-coding RNA. RefSeq lists it as uncharacterized. The record is from RefSeq and is a predicted model, not a curated record. The transcript has 3 exons. Lineage: Eukaryota; Metazoa; Chordata; Chondrichthyes; Orectolobiformes; Stegostomatidae.
CACAGCAGCAAUGACACUUCAAAACUCCCCCACUGGCUGUGAAGCAGUUUGAGAGAACAGGGCAAACAAAACUGGACACAGUACUCCAGAAGAGGCCUCACUAAUGUCCUCAACAUGAUGCCCCAACUCCUACACUCAGAGGUCUGAGCAUUGAAGGCUUAAAGACAGUGGAAUCAAGGUUUUACUGAUUGUGGAUGAUCAGCCAUGAUCAUAAUGAAUGGUGGUGCUGGCUCGAAGGGCUGAAUGGCCUACUCCAGCACCUAUUGUCUAUUGGCUUCUCUCCUGACCUACGUGGCAGAGCUGUUGGCCUUGCCAUCAAACAAUCACAGAACCGUGGAGUACAGAAUGAGGUUAUCCAGUUCACACUGGUCUUGUUACUCUUUGAAAGGAUUCUCCCUCAUCCCAAACCCCUGCUCCUUUUCCAUGACCCUGCAUUUUAAAAGAAGAAAUAUUUCCCAUCUUCAUUUGAACGUUACCAUUGAAUCAGCUUCCAUCAGCAUCUUGGGUUGUAGCCGACAGUGUUGGGAAAUUCUCCUCCAGUGCCAGUACAGAAGUAGUGCUGCACUGUCAGACAUGCAGUUUCUCAGGUGCAACUUUAAACUGAGGCCCUGUCUGCUCUUUCAGGAGAGAGCAAACGGUCCCUCAACAAUAUUUGAAGAAGUACAUGGACAAUUCUCCUCAUUUAACUGACCUUAUGAAAAUAAAACAGAUGAUCAGG